Molecule: ribosomal RNA, 510 nt
Filed under: Colletotrichum cf. gloeosporioides ROG-2010
Lineage: Eukaryota; Fungi; Ascomycota; Sordariomycetes; Glomerellales; Glomerellaceae
Description: eukaryotic LSU rRNA
Rfam family: 5.8S ribosomal RNA (bases 178-331)
Source: RNAcentral
CAUUACUGAGUUUACGCUCUACAACCCUUUGUGAACAUACCUAUAACUGUUGCUUCGGCGGGUAGGGUCUCCGCGACCCUCCCGGCCUCCCGCCUCCGGGCGGGUCGGCGCCCGCCGGAGGAUAACCAAACUCUGAUUUAACGACGUUUCUUCUGAGUGGUACAAGCAAAUAAUCAAAACUUUUAACAACGGAUCUCUUGGUUCUGGCAUCGAUGAAGAACGCAGCGAAAUGCGAUAAGUAAUGUGAAUUGCAGAAUUCAGUGAAUCAUCGAAUCUUUGAACGCACAUUGCGCCCGCCAGCAUUCUGGCGGGCAUGCCUGUUCGAGCGUCAUUUCAACCCUCAAGCUCUGCUUGGUGUUGGGGCCCUACAGCUGAUGUAGGCCCUCAAAGGUAGUGGCGGACCCUCCCGGAGCCUCCUUUGCGUAGUAACUUUACGUCUCGCACUGGGAUCCGGAGGGACUCUUGCCGUAAAACCCCCAAUUUUCCAAAGGUUGACCUCGGAUCAGGUAG